RNAcentral lists this long non-coding RNA (1264 nucleotides) under Dasypus novemcinctus (nine-banded armadillo). RNAcentral describes it as "lncRNA (ENSDNOG00000052735.1)". The record is from RNAcentral. Lineage: Eukaryota; Metazoa; Chordata; Mammalia; Cingulata; Dasypodidae.
CUUAUGUUUGUUUUCCAGCCUUUCCUCCCAAUGCUUCACUUCUAAUCUCUCUGCAGAAAGAAACAUUGCAAUAGAGAAUGAAGCGGAAAUUUAGACCUAUUAUCUUCUGAAAGUCCUGAACUCCCAUCCCUACCUUGCAAGGGAUUCCUCCAUUAACAGAAGCUAAUGCUAUCCCUGAAGGCAAGUUCCUUCCCAAGGGCAAUUCUGUUGGAAUGUUGGCUGCACAUCUUCCCAAGUAUUGUGGUAACUUCUCCAAAUAUGAGCAAACUUGAGCCUAGAAAGGGACAGGGGCUGGUUUGCGGGAGGAACCAGAGGAAUCCAGGUGAACAGUGUAAGGUUGCAAGAGUGUCCUGUCCUUUCUGCAUUUUGGAUGAGCUACCCAGAAUCAACAUGGACUUUACUUCCUAGCUAUCUAGAGGAAGGCAGGAAUGAAAGAGGCCUGCCAAUAGGUUUCCUUUGUAUGAGUUUCCUAGGACACAAACACGGACAGGGAGUUUCUGUUCUCCCCGUUUUGGAUUUUGCUGAGGCAGGUAGUUGAACUCUUUAAGGAAAUCUAGAUUUUCUCUGUCUUGGGAAAUCACUGGUAACAUCUGCCAGAAGGAGGUGAAUAAAAUGGAAAAGAAAAUUCUUAAGAGUCACGCCAAGAUUCAGAUUUACAACCCCACACAAUUCUUCUCCCAGCCCUUCCUUCAACUGAUAUUUGUUUCCCAGGAAGCAGAGAACAAUAGGCUAGUGAUUGAAUUUUGGUCUGAACUUCAGGCAGUUAAUGGUGAAGGAGUAAAAGCUAGUUGCAUUUAGAAUCAAAGUCCACAUACAGUGGUGCCUCAGUACUUGUGGUUAAUUGGUUCCGGGAGACAGGACGAGUACCAAAAAUGAUGAAUACCAAACAAAUUUUUCCCAUAAGAAAUAAUGUAAAUAAAUUUAAUGUGCUCCCAAACCAGUGAUAAUGCACAUUUUAAGGCAAUAUGUAAAACGAUAGGAUUGUAUAUCCUUACUUUACAUGAGAAAUAAACCUAAAAAUUAAUAAAUACUUAGAUUAAAUAAAUAAAAAUUUCAUGUUACCUGUACUGAGAAGAGUCCAUGGCCUAAUGGGAUAGUGGGAGGAGAGUGGUGAGGAGGAGAGGUCACAUGGACUGUUGCUUGGAAGGAGAGUCCCCUCCAACAGAACACUGGGCACUUGCACUUCAGGUGUUUGUUCUCUUUUCUGCCUUUUUUAAACUUGCAACACAGGCUCUGACACACUCCUUGUCACCUUCACCAAAAA